AUUGAACGCUGGCGGCAGGCCUAACACAUGCAAGUCGAGCGGAUGAAGGGAGCUUGCUCCUGGAUUCAGCGGCGGACGGGUGGGUAAUGCCUAGGAAUCUGCCUGGUAGUGGGGGAUAACGUCCGGAAACGGGCGCUAAUACCGCAUACGUCCUGAGGGAGAAAGUGGGGGAUCUUCGGACCUGACGCUAUCAGAUGAGCCUAGGUCGGAUUAGCUAGUUGGUGGGGUAAAGGCCUACCAAGGCGACGAUCCGUAACUGGUCUGAGAGGAUGAUCAGUCACACUGGAACUGAGACACGGUCCAGACUCCUACGGGAGGCAGCAGUGGGGAAUAUUGGACAAUGGGCGAAAGCCUGAUCCAGCCAUGCCGCGUGUGUGAAGAAGGUCUUCGGAUUGUAAAGCACUUUAAGUUGGGAGGAAGGGCAGUAAGUUAAUACCUUGCUGUUUUGACGUUACCAACAGAAUAAGCACCGGCUAACUUCGUG
RNAcentral lists this ribosomal RNA (484 nucleotides) under uncultured bacterium. RNAcentral describes it as "partial 16S ribosomal RNA". It matches the Rfam family "Bacterial small subunit ribosomal RNA", at positions 30 to 507 of the family's 1533-position model. The record is from RNAcentral.